GUGUUAUCCCGUGGUGAUUUGGCCGGCCGGCUUGCAGCCACGUUAAACAAGUUGCUAAAGGGCCGUGGGCUGUUUGAA
This is a regulatory RNA element of 78 nucleotides. It matches the Rfam family "Alpha-proteobacteria SAM riboswitch aptamer". From Rfam's summary of the family: This family is a riboswitch found predominantly in alpha-proteobacteria that binds S-adenosyl methionine (SAM). This SAM riboswitch is located upstream of the metA and metC genes in Agrobacterium tumefaciens, and other methionine and SAM biosynthesis genes in other alpha-proteobacteria. The record is from Rfam.